AAAGGAAUAUGGAACCAAUAUGAAUUACAAUUUGUGUUUUCUUCAACAUUUCAUAACAUUACUAAGACAUAAAAAAUUAUAAAAGCUACAUGGUUAAAAAGUACCAUUUUGGCCAAGUGUGGUGGCUCAUGACUGUAGUCCCAGCAUUUUGGGAGGCUGAGGUGGGAGGAAGGCUGGAGCCCAGGAGUUUGAGGUUGCAGUGAGCUGUGAUCACAGUUGCACUACAGCCUGGGCAACAGAGUGAGACCUUGCCUCAACAAAAAAGUACAAUUGUUUGAAAGAAUGUAUACAUGUUUUUUACUUUUUAAUGGAGUAUAUUGUUUUUAAACAGUCCUUGGUAGAGAGAAUUUUUUCUUGGAUAAAAGGGAGGUAUUUUUGUUAAGUACAUCUGGGCACCCUAAAAAAUUUCAUGGUUUAUGUCCACUCAUUACCGGAUGGGAGAAAAGUUGCUACCAUAAAGUAUGUGGUUUGUAGGAGUUCCUAAAAUAAAACCCUUCAGUUUUCCACCCUGAAGUCAGCUUUUGGUCAUACCGGGUUAUGUACAUGUGUAGUGGAUUCAUGCCAUACCUUUGGAAGGCCAGCAGAGGGAGCACUACUCAAUGUACAGUGUUUACUGUACUGCUAAGAAUAGUAUUUUCUAUGGUUCAGUACAAAAUGAAAACAAAAUUAAAUUUCACAACUCCUCCAAACAAAACCAAAACAAAUUUUUUCAUUUUAUUCCUGAGUUCAGGUUUCAGACAUGCUGUUUAUUAGUGACUGAGCAGAUUAUUUUAUUUCUGUGUACUUUUUUGCCUAUGUAUGAAGACUACUCAGUUACCCUAUUUUAGAGGGUUGGUUGGUUUGUUUUGCAACAGAGUCUCACUUUGUCACCCAGGCUGGAGUGCGGUGGCAUGAUUGUAGCUCACUGCAGCCUUGACAUCCCGGGUUUGAGCGAUUCUCCCACCUCAGCCUCCCGAGUGUGCGCCACCUCCCGUGUCAGACUACAGGUGUGUGCCACCACACCCAGCUAAUUUUUGUAUGUUUUGUAGAAAUGUGGUUUCACUAUGUUGCCCAGGCUGGUCUUGAACCCCUGGGCUCAAGUAGUCCUUCUGCCUUGGCCUCCCAAAGGGCUGGAAUUACAGAUGUGAGCCCCCAUGCUCCGUUAGAGUUGUGUUUUUAGAUUUUUAAAUUAGUAUGGAUACAUACUAGUUUUACAUAUUUUUGAGGUAGAUAUGAUAUUUUGAUACAAGCAUAUAAAAGGUAAUGAUCAAAUCAGGGUAAUUGGAGUAUCCAUUGCCUGAAGCAUUUAUCAUCUUUGUGUUGGGAACAUUCCAAUUCCACUGUCAUAAUUGUUUUGAAAUCUAUAGUAAAUGAUUGGUAACUAUAAUUGCCCUAUAGAGUUAUGUUGUCAGUCUACUUAGUGGUCUAGCAAAGAGGAAGAAGCAUAGUAAUUGACUCAAAUUCCAUGUGGAAAAUAGAGAAAGUUUAGAGAGCUAACUUAGUGUAAAACUUAAAAGUAUUUCUGACUGUAAAUUCUACCAUUAAAACAAAAAACACCCGUGAACCCACAAGGAUAAAAUAAUGUGUUUGUCCCUGCCCUUACUUGCAUGUCCUGGGUGAGGCUGGUUGAUGGUACAGUGUUGUAGAAUAAUUGCAGAAUUCUAUUUACCUGGACGUUUGCUGAGAAAACAAUGUUUGAGGUGGUGUAAGUUUUUGGAAAGCAAACAUUUGACAGAGUCCUUAUAAUUGGUUUUCAUUUUCCAUCCUUUAUUCUCUUUAGGUUCUAAAAUAUUGCAUAAGACCAUCUGAAAA
Long non-coding RNA from Mandrillus leucophaeus (drill), 1791 nucleotides. RefSeq lists it as uncharacterized. NCBI's taxonomy places the organism in Eukaryota, Metazoa, Chordata, Mammalia, Primates, Cercopithecidae. The record is from RefSeq and is a predicted model, not a curated record. The transcript has 2 exons.